GUGGGGAAUAUUGGACAAUGGGCGCAAGCCUGAUCCAGCCAUGCCGCGUGAGUGAUGAAGGCCUUAGGGUUGUAAAGCUCUUUUGUCCGGGAAGAUAAUGACUGUACCGGAAGAAUAAGCCCCGGCUAACUUCGUGCCAGCAGCCGCGGUAAUACGAAGGGGGCUAGCGUUGCUCGGAAUCACUGGGCGUAAAGGGCGCGUAGGCGGACUCUUAAGUCGGAGGUGAAAGCCCAGGGCUCAACCCUGGAAUAGCCUUCGAUACUGGGAGUCUUGAGUUCGGAAGAGGUUGGUGGAAUUGCGAGUGUAGAGGUGAAAUUCGUAGAUAUUCGCAAGAACACCAGUGGCGAAGGCGGCCAACUGGUCCGAUACUGACGCUGAGGCGCGAAAGCGUGGGGAGCAAACAGGAUUAGAAACCCCGGUAGUCC
This 425-nucleotide ribosomal RNA is filed under the name uncultured bacterium. RNAcentral describes it as "partial 16S ribosomal RNA". It matches the Rfam family "Bacterial small subunit ribosomal RNA", at positions 354 to 796 of the family's 1533-position model. The record is from RNAcentral.